This 549-nucleotide ribosomal RNA is filed under the name uncultured Glomus. Its description in RNAcentral is "SSU rRNA". It matches the Rfam family "Eukaryotic small subunit ribosomal RNA", at positions 548 to 1098 of the family's 1831-position model. Lineage: Eukaryota; Fungi; Glomeromycota; Glomeromycetes; Glomerales; Glomeraceae. The record is from RNAcentral.
UUGGAGGGCAAGUCUGGUGCCAGCAGCCGCGGUAAUUCCAGCUCCAAUAGCGUAUAUUAAAGUUGUUGCAGUUAAAAAGCUCGUAGUUGAAUUUCGGGGUCAGCGGGUUGGUCGUGCCAAUGGUAUGCACUGGCCUUGCUGAUUCCUCCCUCUUGAUGAGCCGUAAUGUCAUUAAUUUGGUGUUGCGGGGAAUCAGGACUGUUACUUUGAAAAAAUUAGAGUGUUUAAAGCAGGCAAGCGCUUGAAUACAUUAGCAUGGAAUAAUGAAAUAGGACGUUUGAUCCUAUUUUGUUGGUUUCUAGGAUUGACGUAAUGAUUAAUAGGGAUAGUUGGGGGCAUUAGUAUUCAAUUGUCAGAGGUGAAAUUCUUGGAUUUAUUGAAGACUAACUACUGCGAAAGCAUUUGCCAAGGAUGUUUUCAUUAAUCAAGAACGAAAGUUAGGGGAUCGAAGACGAUCAGACACCGUCGUAGUCUUAACCAUAAACUAUGCCGACUAGGGAUCGGAUGAUGUUAAUUUUUUAAUGACUCAUUCGGCGCCUUACGGGAAAC